AUUGAACGCUGGCGGCGUGCCUAACACAUGCAAGUCGAGCGGCAGCGCGGGAGCAAUCCUGGCGGCGAGCGGCGGACGGGUGAGUAACGCUUGGGAAUCUGCCUGUUAGUGGGGGACAACCCGGGAAACGUCGGGCGUAAUACCGCAUACGCACUACGGUGGAAAGCCGGGGACCGGCAAGGCCUGGCGCUAACAGAUGAGCCCAAGUCGGAUUAGCUAGUUGGUAGGGUAACGGCCACCAAGGCGACGAUCCGUAACCUGGUCUGAGAGGACGACCAGUCACACC
RNAcentral lists this ribosomal RNA (286 nucleotides) under uncultured bacterium. RNAcentral describes it as "partial 16S ribosomal RNA". It matches the Rfam family "Bacterial small subunit ribosomal RNA", at positions 29 to 314 of the family's 1533-position model. The record is from RNAcentral.